Molecule: ribosomal RNA, 468 nt
Filed under: uncultured bacterium
Lineage: Bacteria
Description: partial 16S ribosomal RNA
Rfam family: Bacterial small subunit ribosomal RNA
Source: RNAcentral
GACGAACGCUGGCGGCGUGCUUAACACAUGCAAGUCGAACGGAGAGACCCAGCUUUUGUGGGGUGCUCGAGUGGCGAACGGGUGAGUAACACGUGAGUAACCUGCCCUUGACUUUGGGAUAACUUCAGGAAACUGGGGCUAAUACCGGAUAGGAGCUCCUGCUGCAUGGUGGGGGUUGGAAAGUUUCGGCGGUUGGGGAUGGACUCGCGGCUUAUCAGCUUGUUGGUGGGGUAGUGGCUUACCAAGGCUUUGACGGGUAGCCGGCCUGAGAGGGUGACCGGCCACAUUGGGACUGAGAGACGGCCCAGACUCCUACGGGAGGCAGCAGUGGGGAAUAUUGCACAAUGGGCGGAAGCCUGAUGCAGCAACGCCGCGUGCGGGAUGACGGCCUUCGGGUUGUAAACCGCUUUCGCCUGUGACGAAGCGUGAGUGACGGUAAUGGGUAAAGAAGCACCGGCUAACUACGUG